GCUGGAGUUGUGGCUCAGUGAUAGAGCACUUGCCUAGCAUGUGUGAGGCACUGGGUUCAAUUCCCAGCAUGGCA
This 74-nucleotide transfer RNA is filed under the name Marmota monax (woodchuck). RNAcentral's name for it is "tRNA.Ala". The stretch from base 9 to 69 matches the Rfam family "tRNA", at positions 6 to 65 of the family's 71-position model. Rfam says of the family: Transfer RNA (tRNA) molecules are approximately 80 nucleotides in length. Lineage: Eukaryota; Metazoa; Chordata; Mammalia; Rodentia; Sciuridae. The record is from RNAcentral.